GGCUCCGUAGCUCAGCUGUUAGAGCGUGUGCUGUAAAAAGGGGUAGGCGGCGUCCAUACGUGGGUUCGAAUCCCAACGAGGCUA
This 84-nucleotide transfer RNA is filed under the name Echinostoma caproni. It matches the Rfam family "tRNA". Rfam says of the family: Transfer RNA (tRNA) molecules are approximately 80 nucleotides in length. Their secondary structure includes four short double-helical elements and three loops (D, anti-codon, and T loops). The record is from Rfam by way of RNAcentral. Lineage: Eukaryota; Metazoa; Platyhelminthes; Trematoda; Plagiorchiida; Echinostomatidae.